AUGGCGCCUACCCCGGCGGGUGCGCCGCUUGGUCAUGAGGACCAGGCGGGCACGCUAGCUGGUCCUGCCGGGGGAGGCCAGGAGGUCCAGGGGUGCGUGACCAGGCUGGAGUCGCGCCAGAAUGCGGAGGUUGACCAAAGUCAGCAUUGUUAUGAUGUUGUACAUGCCCAAAGUACACAUGCAGGUCACGUGGCCAUGAUUUCUCACGCUCAAGUGAUGGCCAGGAAAACUCCAGUGGAUGGAGAUGAUGCUGGCGAGCUUUUUUUUCAGCCGGGAGUGUUGGAGGCGUUGUCUAGCGCUGUUGCAGCGAAAAUCGCUAUGGCCGGCGGUGAUACAUUGAAUAAUGCUCUACCCUUUAAAUUCAGUGCAGCAAAAAAUCCUAUGCGGGGCAACUCAGAAAAGAAAGAUAAAAAGAAAGGGGGGGCAAACAGAGUUGAAGAUGCCCGCAAGCAAGUGAUAGGGAAAAAAUAG
This 471-nucleotide ribosomal RNA is filed under the name Triticum aestivum (bread wheat). Its description in RNAcentral is "partial small subunit ribosomal RNA". The record is from RNAcentral. Lineage: Eukaryota; Viridiplantae; Streptophyta; Magnoliopsida; Poales; Poaceae.